UACGUAGGGUGCAAGCGUUGUCCGGAAUUAUUGGGCGUAAAGGGCUCGUAGGCGGUCCAUCGCGUCGGGAGUGAAAAGCUGGGGCUUAACCCCAGUCCUGCUUCCGAUACGGGUGGACUAGAGGUAGGUAGGGGAGAACGGAAUUCCUGGUGUAGCGGUGAAAUGCGCAGAUAUCAGGAGGAACACCGGUGGCGAAGGCGGCUCUCUGGGGCGGUACUGACGCUGAGACGCGAAAGCGUGGGGAGCGAACAGG
RNAcentral lists this ribosomal RNA (253 nucleotides) under uncultured bacterium. RNAcentral describes it as "partial 16S ribosomal RNA". It matches the Rfam family "Bacterial small subunit ribosomal RNA", at positions 524 to 776 of the family's 1533-position model. The record is from RNAcentral.